Molecule: ribosomal RNA, 2746 nt
Filed under: Pseudomonas simiae
Lineage: Bacteria; Pseudomonadati; Pseudomonadota; Gammaproteobacteria; Pseudomonadales; Pseudomonadaceae
Description: bacterial LSU rRNA
Rfam family: Bacterial large subunit ribosomal RNA
Source: RNAcentral
CAUAGGUGCAAGAGGCGAACCAGGGGAACUGAAACAUCUAAGUACCCUGAGGAAAAGAAAUCAACCGAGAUUCCCUUAGUAGUGGCGAGCGAACGGGGACUAGCCCUUAAGUGGCUUUGAGAUUAGCGGAACGCUCUGGAAAGUGCGGCCAUAGUGGGUGAUAGCCCUGUACGCGAAAAUCUCUUAGUCAUGAAAUCGAGUAGGACGGAGCACGAGAAACUUUGUCUGAAUAUGGGGGGACCAUCCUCCAAGGCUAAAUACUACUGACUGACCGAUAGUGAACUAGUACCGUGAGGGAAAGGCGAAAAGAACCCCGGAGAGGGGAGUGAAAUAGAUCCUGAAACCGUAUGCGUACAAGCAGUGGGAGCCUACUUUGUUAGGUGACUGCGUACCUUUUGUAUAAUGGGUCAGCGACUUAUUUUCAGUGGCGAGCUUAACCGAAUAGGGGAGGCGUAGCGAAAGCGAGUCUUAAUAGGGCGUCUAGUCGCUGGGAAUAGACCCGAAACCGGGCGAUCUAUCCAUGGGCAGGUUGAAGGUUGGGUAACACUAACUGGAGGACCGAACCGACUACCGUUGAAAAGUUAGCGGAUGACCUGUGGAUCGGAGUGAAAGGCUAAUCAAGCUCGGAGAUAGCUGGUUCUCCUCGAAAGCUAUUUAGGUAGCGCCUCAUGUAUCACUGUAGGGGGUAGAGCACUGUUUCGGCUAGGGGGUCAUCCCGACUUACCAAACCGAUGCAAACUCCGAAUACCUACAAGUGCCGAGCAUGGGAGACACACGGCGGGUGCUAACGUCCGUCGUGAAAAGGGAAACAACCCAGACCGUCAGCUAAGGUCCCAAAGUUAUGGUUAAGUGGGAAACGAUGUGGGAAGGCUUAGACAGCUAGGAGGUUGGCUUAGAAGCAGCCACCCUUUAAAGAAAGCGUAAUAGCUCACUAGUCGAGUCGGCCUGCGCGGAAGAUGUAACGGGGCUCAAACCAUACACCGAAGCUACGGGUAUCACGUAAGUGAUGCGGUAGAGGAGCGUUCUGUAAGCCUGUGAAGGUGAGUUGAGAAGCUUGCUGGAGGUAUCAGAAGUGCGAAUGCUGACAUGAGUAACGACAAUGGGUGUGAAAAACACCCACGCCGAAAGACCAAGGUUUCCUGCGCAACGUUAAUCGACGCAGGGUUAGUCGGUCCCUAAGGCGAGGCUGAAAAGCGUAGUCGAUGGAAAACAGGUUAAUAUUCCUGUACUUCUGGUUAUUGCGAUGGAGGGACGGAGAAGGCUAGGCCAGCUUGGCGUUGGUUGUCCAAGUUUAAGGUGGUAGGCUGAGAUCUUAGGUAAAUCCGGGAUCUUAAGGCCGAGAGCUGAUGACGAGCUAACUUUUAGUUAGCGAAGUGGUUGAUGCCAUGCUUCCAAGAAAAGCUUCUAAGCUUCAGGUAACCAGGAACCGUACCCCAAACCGACACAGGUGGUUGGGUAGAGAAUACCAAGGCGCUUGAGAGAACUCGGGUGAAGGAACUAGGCAAAAUGGCACCGUAACUUCGGGAGAAGGUGCGCCGGUGAGGGUGAAGGACUUGCUCCGUAAGCUCAUGCCGGUCGAAGAUACCAGGCCGCUGCGACUGUUUAUUAAAAACACAGCACUCUGCAAACACGAAAGUGGACGUAUAGGGUGUGACGCCUGCCCGGUGCCGGAAGGUUAAUUGAUGGGGUUAGCUAACGCGAAGCUCUUGAUCGAAGCCCCGGUAAACGGCGGCCGUAACUAUAACGGUCCUAAGGUAGCGAAAUUCCUUGUCGGGUAAGUUCCGACCUGCACGAAUGGCGUAACGAUGGCGGCGCUGUCUCCACCCGAGACUCAGUGAAAUUGAAAUCGCUGUGAAGAUGCAGUGUAUCCGCGGCUAGACGGAAAGACCCCGUGAACCUUUACUAUAGCUUUGCACUGGACUUUGAAUUUGCUUGUGUAGGAUAGGUGGGAGGCUUUGAAGCGUGGACGCCAGUUCGCGUGGAGCCAUCCUUGAAAUACCACCCUGGCAACUUUGAGGUUCUAACUCAGGUCCGUUAUCCGGAUCGAGGACAGUGUAUGGUGGGUAGUUUGACUGGGGCGGUCUCCUCCUAAAGAGUAACGGAGGAGUACGAAGGUGCGCUCAGACCGGUCGGAAAUCGGUCGUAGAGUAUAAAGGCAAAAGCGCGCUUGACUGCGAGACAGACACGUCGAGCAGGUACGAAAGUAGGUCUUAGUGAUCCGGUGGUUCUGUAUGGAAGGGCCAUCGCUCAACGGAUAAAAGGUACUCCGGGGAUAACAGGCUGAUACCGCCCAAGAGUUCAUAUCGACGGCGGUGUUUGGCACCUCGAUGUCGGCUCAUCACAUCCUGGGGCUGAAGCCGGUCCCAAGGGUAUGGCUGUUCGCCAUUUAAAGUGGUACGCGAGCUGGGUUUAGAACGUCGUGAGACAGUUCGGUCCCUAUCUGCCGUGGACGUUUGAGAUUUGAGAGGGGCUGCUCCUAGUACGAGAGGACCGGAGUGGACGAACCUCUGGUGUUCCGGUUGUCACGCCAGUGGCAUUGCCGGGUAGCUAUGUUCGGAAUAGAUAACCGCUGAAAGCAUCUAAGCGGGAAACUAGCCUCAAGAUGAGAUCUCACUGGAACCUUGAGUUCCCUGAAGGGCCGUCGAAGACUACGACGUUGAUAGGUUGGGUGUGUAAGCGCUGUGAGGCGUUGAGCUAACCAAUACUAAUUGCCCGUGAGGCUUGACCAUAUAACACCCAAGCAAUU